This 422-nucleotide long non-coding RNA is filed under the name Carica papaya (papaya). Its description in RNAcentral is "long non-coding RNA (CPAP_LNC014383)". Lineage: Eukaryota; Viridiplantae; Streptophyta; Magnoliopsida; Brassicales; Caricaceae. The record is from RNAcentral.
AAAAUACAUUAGACAUUACUUUUUACUUGAAUGUUGUUGUGAUUCAAUCUACACAUAAGAUGGUUGACCCAAGGAAAAAUAGAAUUAUGAUAAAUUCUCUUCCAUGGGAAAUUGUUGUCUCUUGAGAAAGACGUACUAGAAAUUUUAUUCCUGUAGCACCAAACAUUACAGUAACAUGAUUUUACUAUGUAUUCUCCAUUUUUUGCAUGUGUCCAAUAAGCCCAUCAGGUGGUUUUCUCUUGCUUAAUACGAUACUAACAAUUUGUUUAGCUUUAAUAGGACAAAGAAACUCCAAAUUACUUACACAUUCCACACACGGCUUGUACAAAAACUUAACUUAACCUGAAACUAUAUUGAAAUAAUAUUGGAACAAUAUUGAAAACGAAUCAUAGUAAUUCAAAAGAGAAUAAUUAUUAAUGACA